This 162-nucleotide non-coding RNA is filed under the name pig gut metagenome. The record is from RNAcentral.
GCGUAGGAUGUUAGAAUUUCUUAUUACUUCGUUCAUCUUUCAGCAACGUCCGGACAGGAGGUCCGGACGAGCCCGCCAUAAGGCAUGGAUGCCGCAUCAGGGCGGUUGCGUCACUAUGUUCUCUUCUUCCUCGAAGUAAUUAGAAAUACUUACAUCCGUAGC